RNAcentral lists this non-coding RNA (21 nucleotides) under Caenorhabditis elegans. The record is from RNAcentral. Lineage: Eukaryota; Metazoa; Nematoda; Chromadorea; Rhabditida; Rhabditidae.
UUCAACAACGUUUCUUCAUGA